Molecule: non-coding RNA, 206 nt
Organism: Pelobates cultripes (western spadefoot toad)
Lineage: Eukaryota; Metazoa; Chordata; Amphibia; Anura; Pelobatidae
Source: the annotation of a GenBank genome assembly
CCCUCAUACACUCACAGACACAGGUUUAUUUACUAAGCUAGUUUAUUUUAUGUGUUUUAUGUGUUUCGUUUCUUUUCUACAUUUAAUCAAGUUAAGAUUUACUCUCUGAUCUCCCUCUGAAGUCCCUAAGGCAGAACUUAAAGGCUGCCUAGACAUGAGUCUUUCUCCAUUUCACGGAAUCUCUAGGCUACAGCUCAAUCUAUGUU